UUGUACAUAACUAAUUAGUUUAUUGCUUAGUUUAGAUUGGAUUUUUAAUUUUAUUUCUUGAAUCCUCAACCAUAAAUUAUGAUUAUAAUUUUAACCCUUGCCUUAGAAAGCUUGGGAGUAUUCAUAUUACAAUGAUUAGUUGCAUUCAAGUUGGGGAGAAAAUGUUGGUUACUAUGAGGUUGAGAAAGAAAAAGAAUUGAAUAAGAAAAAAAAAGAAAAAAAAAGAAAAAAAAAGAAAAAAAAUUAUGCUAAUAAGUUGUGUGAAAGGGUGUAACAAUUGUGCAAUGAGAAAAAGGUGAAUGAAAUUUGCGAAUGCUUGAGAUUGUGAGAAGUGAUCACUCCCAUAUGAUUAGGA
Molecule: long non-coding RNA, 355 nt
Filed under: Lathyrus oleraceus (garden pea)
Lineage: Eukaryota; Viridiplantae; Streptophyta; Magnoliopsida; Fabales; Fabaceae
Description: Pisum sativum (pea) long non-coding RNA (PSAT_LNC020831)
Source: RNAcentral